UACGUAGGGGGCAAGCGUUGUCCGGAAUCAUUGGGCGUAAAGAGCGUGUAGGCGGCCUGAUAAGUCGGCUGUGAAAGUCAAGGGCUCAACCCUUGAAUGCCGGCCGAUACUGUCAGGCUAGAGUCCGGAAGAGGCGAGUGGAAUUCCUGGUGUAGCGGUGAAAUGCGCAGAUAUCAGGAGGAACACCUAUGGCGAAGGCAGCUCGCUGGGACGGUACUGACGCUGAGACGCGAAAGCGUGGGGAGCGAACAGGA
RNAcentral lists this ribosomal RNA (254 nucleotides) under uncultured prokaryote. Its description in RNAcentral is "partial 16S ribosomal RNA". It matches the Rfam family "Bacterial small subunit ribosomal RNA", at positions 524 to 777 of the family's 1533-position model. The record is from RNAcentral.